AACGCUGGCGGCGUGCCUCAGACAUGCAAGUCGAACGAUUAAACUUCCCUUCGGGGAAGAUAUAAAGUGGCACACGGGUGAGUAACACGUAAGUAAUCUUCCUUCGAGUGGGGAAUAACAUCGGGAAACCGAUGCUAAUACCGCAUAAUUCAGCGGCACCUAAUGGUGACAGUUGUUAAAGGAGCAAUUCGCUUGAAGAUGAGCUUGCGGCAGAUUAGCUAGUUGGUAAGGUAACGGCUUACCAAGGCUUCGAUCUGUAACCGGUCUAAGAGGACGGUCGGUCACACUGACACUGAAUAUCGGGUCAGACUCCUACGGGAGGCAGCAGUCGGGAAUUUUGGGCAAUGGGUGAAAGCCUGACCCAGCAACGCCGCGUGAAGGAUGAAGUAUUUCGGUAUGUAAACUUCGAAAGAAUGGGAAGAAUCAAUGACGGUACCAUUUAUAAGGUCUGGCUAACUACGUGCCAGCAGCCGCGGUAAUAAGGU
Molecule: ribosomal RNA, 485 nt
Filed under: uncultured Acidobacteriota bacterium
Lineage: Bacteria; Pseudomonadati; Acidobacteriota
Description: bacterial SSU rRNA
Rfam family: Bacterial small subunit ribosomal RNA
Source: RNAcentral